RNAcentral lists this ribosomal RNA (567 nucleotides) under uncultured Bacteroides sp. RNAcentral's name for it is "bacterial SSU rRNA". It matches the Rfam family "Bacterial small subunit ribosomal RNA", at positions 149 to 715 of the family's 1533-position model. Lineage: Bacteria; Pseudomonadati; Bacteroidota; Bacteroidia; Bacteroidales; Bacteroidaceae. The record is from RNAcentral.
UUUCGAAAGAAAGAUUCUUUCCGGAUGGCAUAGUUUUCCCGCAUGGGAUAAUUAUUAAAGAAUUUCGGUUGUCGAUGGGGAUGCGUUCCAUUAGGCAGUUGGCGGGGUAACGGCCCACCAAACCAACGAUGGAUAGGGGUUCUGAGAGGAAGGUCCCCCACAUUGGAACUGAGACACGGUCCAAACUCCUACGGGAGGCAGCAGUGAGGAAUAUUGGUCAAUGGACGAGAGUCUGAACCAGCCAAGUAGCGUGAAGGAUGACUGCCCUAUGGGUUGUAAACUUCUUUUAUACGGGAAUAAAGUGAGCCACGUGUGGUUUUUUGUAUGUACCGUAUGAAUAAGGAUCGGCUAACUCCGUGCCAGCAGCCGCGGUAAUACGGAGGAUCCGAGCGUUAUCCGGAUUUAUUGGGUUUAAAGGGAGCGUAGGCGGGUUGUUAAGUCAGUUGUGAAAGUUUGCGGCUCAACCGUAAAAUUGCAGUUGAUACUGGCGACCUUGAGUGCAACAGAGGUAGGCGGAAUUCGUGGUGUAGCGGUGAAAUGCUUAGAUAUCACGAAGAACUCCGAUUG